Molecule: ribosomal RNA, 253 nt
Filed under: uncultured bacterium
Lineage: Bacteria
Description: partial 16S ribosomal RNA
Rfam family: Bacterial small subunit ribosomal RNA
Source: RNAcentral
GACGAAGGUGGCGAGCGUUGUUCGGUGUCACUGGGCUUAAAGGGUGUGUAGGCGGGAAAGUAUGCAUCUUGUGAAAUCCCCCGGCUUAACCGGGGAAUUGCUUGAUGAACUGCUUUUCUUGAGGCAAGUAGGGGUACAUGGAACUCUUGGUGGAGCGGUGGAAUGCGUAGAUAUCAAGAGGAACGCCGAUGGUGAAAACAGUGUACUGGGCUUGUCCUGACGCUGAAACACGAAAGCGUGGGGAGCGAACGGG